This is a long non-coding RNA of Felis catus (domestic cat), 525 nucleotides long. RefSeq lists it as uncharacterized. Lineage: Eukaryota; Metazoa; Chordata; Mammalia; Carnivora; Felidae. The record is from RefSeq and is a predicted model, not a curated record. The transcript is spliced from 2 exons.
GGGGUGGGGGCUACUGAAGGCGAGUUAAGCGAAAGUACAUUUCUUAAAACCAGAUUCAAUCAGAAAGAUCCUUGUUGGAGAUGGGUUCAAGGCCCCGUGGAAGACAUCAGGCGGAACAUUUAAUUUCGUUCAAACGAGCCUCAUAAUUUGAAAGUCCGCCUCAAGCCUAUCAUUCUGGAAAGCGUGCAGCGAAUGACUUCCUGACACGCCCAGGGAGGCAGGAGAGAGAUGAAAACAUGUGUGAAAGCUGUCAUCCAGUUGUCCAAGAUGCCUCAGAGAGCAGUCCGGUUCCCAGCAGCCCCUGAACGGCUUGGGUCCUGCGCGCGUAGACCCGAAAGCUCUCCCCAGUGUUGACGACACAGAAUUGGGGGGCGGGGGGCAGGUUGCUGCUCAGAACGUGACCGUGAGCCAUCCCCGUCCAUCGUCCCCAGACCAGAGCACUGGUCGGCAUGGUGGACGUUGUCAUCCUGAUUACGUGGCGUAGUAGACUGGUUGGUGAAAUAAAAAAUAAUCAGUUCUCUCUGU